Small nuclear RNA from Dipodomys ordii (Ord's kangaroo rat), 120 nucleotides. NCBI's taxonomy places the organism in Eukaryota, Metazoa, Chordata, Mammalia, Rodentia, Heteromyidae. The record is from Ensembl.
GUGUUGUAUGAAAGGAGAGAAGGCUAGCACUCUCCAUGACAAGUAUGGAAGAGGCUUUUAGACCUGACAACAUAUACCAUGAAGACACUGACACUUAUUUUGUGGCAUAUAACCAUUUGU